Thalassophryne amazonica is the source of this 1755-nucleotide long non-coding RNA. RefSeq lists it as uncharacterized. The record is from RefSeq and is a predicted model, not a curated record. NCBI's taxonomy places the organism in Eukaryota, Metazoa, Chordata, Actinopteri, Batrachoidiformes, Batrachoididae. The transcript is spliced from 3 exons.
AUAAAUGCAUGAAUUAGUUUUUCAGCAUCACUCUGAGACAAGACCUUUCUAAUUUUAGAGAUAAUGCAAGUAGUCCUACAUAUUUGUUUAAUAUGUGCAUUGAAUGACAUAUCCUGGUCAAGUUGUACAGAUCCUGAGGUUCACCAGUCGGUGCUUAUCCCCAGAUUCCAUGGCAUGAAAUGGAUGAGCGUCUGACUCCCCAUGGAUGGAACACCAGUCUGACUCGGGUUACUUCCCCAGCAAACGUUGGUAACCAGCUGGGUGGACUGAGACAAAGCAGAUGAAGUGUUUUAAUCUAAGAACACAGACAGUUUUGAUGAUAACACAGGUUAAUAAACAACUGGGUCUAGCCUCAUUUUAUUAAGACCUCCAGAAAGAAAUGUAUGACAGUCAUUCUGGAGAGGUAGCUGUAGUCAAGUAAUUCAACCCCAAAUCAGAAUCAUUAAAAUUAGUAUUUGAUCAUAAUUAUUCAAAUGAAAAUAAUUAAUUUGUGUGUAAAUUAAUCUAGAAUAUAUAACAUUUACACUUUCUGAAAUAAGUGACAAAAAUAUUUAACUUUUUCAUAAUGUUAUUUUUUCAGACACACCUGUACAUCCAUUCCUGUGUUUAAGGCUGCAACAGAUUUAAAAAAGCUGUGAUGUGGGUAAUUUAAAAGUACUUAACUUCAACUUUAACUUCAUAUAGCAGCCAAAUAAUGUAGGGGCCAAUGAAGGCUUACACAGGGGUCAAAAAAUAAAACUUACAAUUUUGGCAAAUUGUGAUGUAAAUUACUUGUUGAGUUGAUCAGAUUUUUAAAAAGUAAAAUCAUUCUUCAAAGUAAUGGAUUCUAUUCCAUAUGACCCAAAACAUGAUGACAAAGCACAACAGAUGGUGCAAACUAUUAAAAAAAAUUGUAUUUGCACAACCAAAUAUUUGAAUCACAUUUUAUCAAAACUGGAGCAGCUUUAACUUUUGACGUUUGUACAAAUUGAAACUGACCAUUGCCAUAAUUUUAUCUGUUCAUAACAUUCACUCAUAGAUCAUCCAAACGACCUUUUUGGCAUAUUUAUCUGUUUUACUUUUAAAUAUGACUGGAGCAUUUUUAAAUGUUGACCCCUGUGUUAUUCUUUAAUGACCCCGACCUGUUUAUUGCUGUCACCCUGAUGGCCACCAUACAUUUUAUGUAGGUUGUAGAAUACUCGGUUUGGAUUAAUGCAUUUUAGGUGGUACUGAACUACCUACCUGUUCUAUUACACACAACUAUAAGAAGAGUAUUUAAGAAUUAACUUUUUCUCACUUUUUGUAAGUUAUGACACAAUAUUGUUUUAUAAAGACACUGUUGAAGUGAAUUGUUUUGUCAACAAAUAAAGGAAAACCUGCUUUUCAAUUCACAGUUUGUCCUAAAAAUGAUUUAACUGUUAAUGUGACACUUUUCACGAAUUUAUUAAAGUUAUAAACCUUGAGGUUUUUCAGCGUGUUGUUGUUUCUGUCGGAUCUUUUAUACGGAUGGAAUAACCGGACGUGCUGCGCCUCAUAAAAAUGUCUGUCGAUGAAUCAAAGUUGAUUUUGGAGGAACACAACAAGACAAAUGGAGACAGACUUCAGUUCUUUGCUCAGAUUAAUGAGGUUCACCCAAAACCAGGAAGCGCCCAAAAACGGUGCAAGUCUUACCAGUGUGGAAAGACUUUCAGCCAGUUAUCUCAUAUAAAACACCACCAGCUCAUCCAUGAUGAGGAAAAACCACACACCAGUGACCAGUGUGGCAGAGCUCGGAGU